RNAcentral lists this transfer RNA (57 nucleotides) under Schistocephalus solidus. It matches the Rfam family "tRNA". Rfam says of the family: Transfer RNA (tRNA) molecules are approximately 80 nucleotides in length. Their secondary structure includes four short double-helical elements and three loops (D, anti-codon, and T loops). Further hydrogen bonds mediate the characteristic L-shaped molecular structure. tRNAs have two regions of fundamental functional importance: the anti-codon, which is responsible for specific mRNA codon recognition, and the 3' end, to which the tRNAs corresponding amino acid is attached (by aminoacyl-tRNA synthetases). tRNAs cope with the degeneracy of the genetic code in two manners: having more than one tRNA (with a specific anti-codon) for a particular amino acid; and 'wobble' base-pairing, i.e. permitting non-standard base-pairing at the 3rd anti-codon position. Lineage: Eukaryota; Metazoa; Platyhelminthes; Cestoda; Diphyllobothriidea; Diphyllobothriidae. The record is from Rfam by way of RNAcentral.
GAGCCCGUGGCUCAAUGGUUAGAGCGCUUGACUUCUACUCGAAAGGUCGCGGGGUCG